RNAcentral lists this unclassified non-coding RNA (295 nucleotides) under uncultured fungus. RNAcentral describes it as "sequence contains ITS2". The record is from RNAcentral. Lineage: Eukaryota; Fungi.
AACGCACAUUGCGCCCCCUGGUAUUCCGGGGGGCAUGCCCGUUCGAGCGUCAUCAAUACCAACUCAAGCGACUCGUUUUUCUUGCGAAAUCGCUUGGUCAUGGGACCGGGGCCGCCGCCUUCAGGGGUGGAGGCCCCGCUCCCCAAUUUCAUGGAGCGGAGCCCGGUGUUUGGGCGUCGGAAGUAAUAAGCACAUUUCCUCCGACGCUUUCCAGCCGAAUGACUCCUGCCCGCAAAAGCUCCCAAUUGUCUUCAAGGCAUGACCUCGGACGGGUAGGGAUACCCGCUGAACUUAA